AUUGAACGCUGGCGGCAGGCCUAACACAUGCAAGUCGGGCGAGCGACGGACGGGUGAGUAAUGUAUGGGGAUCUGCCUGAUGGCGGGGGAUAACUACUGGAAACGGUAGAUAAUACCGCAUACCAUCAGAUGAACCCAUAUGGGAUUAGCUUGUAGGUGGGGUAACGGAUCACCUAGGCGACGAUCCCUAGCUGGUCUGAGAGGAUGAUCAGCCACACUGGGACUGAGACACGGCCCAGACUCCUACGGGAGGCAGCAGUGGGGAAUAUUGGACAAUGGGCGCAAGCCUGAUGCAGCCAUGCCGCGUGUAUGAAGAAGGCCUUCGGGUUGUAAAGUACUUUCAUUCGGGAGGCGUUACCGACAGAAGAAGCACCGGCUAACUCCGUUCCAGCCGCCGCGGUAAUAC
Molecule: ribosomal RNA, 406 nt
Filed under: uncultured bacterium
Lineage: Bacteria
Description: partial 16S ribosomal RNA
Rfam family: Bacterial small subunit ribosomal RNA
Source: RNAcentral